RNAcentral lists this ribosomal RNA (253 nucleotides) under uncultured bacterium. RNAcentral describes it as "partial 16S ribosomal RNA". It matches the Rfam family "Bacterial small subunit ribosomal RNA", at positions 524 to 776 of the family's 1533-position model. The record is from RNAcentral.
UACGAAGGGGGCUAGCGUUGUUCGGAUUCACUGGGCGUAAAGGGUGCGUAGGUGGUGGGGUAAGUCGGAUGUGAAAUCUCCGAGCUCAACUCGGAAACUGCAUUGGAAACUACCCUGCUAGAGGGUCGGAGGGGGGACUGGAAUACUUGGUGUAGCAGUGAAAUGCGUAGAUAUCAAGUGGAACACCAGUGGCGAAGGCGAGUCCCUGGACGACUCCUGACACUGAGGCACGAAAGCUAGGGGAGCAAACAGG